Long non-coding RNA from Cuculus canorus (common cuckoo), 403 nucleotides. RefSeq lists it as uncharacterized. The record is from RefSeq and is a predicted model, not a curated record. The transcript has 4 exons. Lineage: Eukaryota; Metazoa; Chordata; Aves; Cuculiformes; Cuculidae.
CAGCCUCGGAGGGGUGGAGCUUCAUGCUGAGAAAUGGUUUGAGCGGCGCUGUGCGGGCUGCCUUUGCGAUGGGAAGAGCAGUUGAGGUGCCCCAGGUGAUGAUGGCUGCAGCAUUGGAUGUUUGAAUUGGGACGGAACAGAUGAUAAUCAAGAGGAACCUGGCAAUGCAGGAUCGUCCCAGUUAGCUGACUCGUUUUGAGCUUUUUCUGCCAGGGAUGGCUUCAGGCCUUUGGCCCUCUGAAAGUUAAGUUGAGGGGGUUGUGUUUUGGCGUUGGGAAGAAGGCAGAAUGUUGAGAAUGGCAGAGAAGGGAUUUAGCACAUGGUAGAGGGCUGUGCUGGAAGAGUAACCUUUUGUGCAGGUAUAGGGAGGGGUUCAAUCCUCAGCGCAGAGCUAGCGUGUGCC